CCUACGGGGGGCAGCAGUGAGGAAUAUUGGUCAAUGGCCGGAAGGCUGAACCAGCCAUGCCGCGUGAAGGUCAGUGCCCUAUGGGCGUUAAACUUCUUUUGUGCGGGAGCAAUAAUGGUCACGUGUGGCCAGACGAGAGUACCGUACGAAUAAGCAUCGGCUAACUCCGUGCCAGCAGCCGCGGUAAUACGGGUGAUGCAAGCGUUAUCCGGAUUUAUUGGGUUUAAAGGGUGCGUAGGCUGUGAGGUAAGUCAGCGGUGAAAUGCCCCCGCUCAACGGGGUGAAGUGCCAUUGAUACUGCCUGGCUGGAAUGCGGAUGCCGUGGGAGGAAUGUGUGGUGUAGCGGUGAAAUGCAUAGAUAUCACACAGAACACCGAUUGCGAAGGCAUCUCACGAAUCCGCGAUUGACGCUGAUGCACGAAAGCGUGGGUAUCAAACAGGAUUAGAUACCCUUGUAGUC
Molecule: ribosomal RNA, 460 nt
Filed under: uncultured bacterium
Lineage: Bacteria
Description: partial 16S ribosomal RNA
Rfam family: Bacterial small subunit ribosomal RNA
Source: RNAcentral